This 291-nucleotide ribosomal RNA is filed under the name uncultured bacterium. RNAcentral's name for it is "partial 16S ribosomal RNA". It matches the Rfam family "Bacterial small subunit ribosomal RNA", at positions 773 to 1060 of the family's 1533-position model. The record is from RNAcentral.
GUGGAUUAGAUACCCGGGUAGUCCACGCCCUAAACGAUGUCGACUAGUUGUUCGGAGGGUAAAACCUUUGAGUAACGUAGCUAACGCGUGAAGUCGACCGCCUGGGGAGUACGGCCGCAAGGUUAAAACUCAAAGGAAUUGACGGGGACCCGCACAAGCGGUGGAUGAUGUGGAUUAAUUCGAUGCAACGCGAAAAACCUUACCUACCCUUGACAUGUCAGGAACUUUCCAGAGAUGGAUUGGUGCCCGAAAGGGAGCCUGAACACAGGUGCUGCACGGCCGUCGUCAGCU